RNAcentral lists this ribosomal RNA (333 nucleotides) under uncultured Bacillota bacterium. Its description in RNAcentral is "bacterial SSU rRNA". It matches the Rfam family "Bacterial small subunit ribosomal RNA", at positions 28 to 351 of the family's 1533-position model. The record is from RNAcentral. Lineage: Bacteria; Bacillati; Bacillota.
GACGAACGCUGGCGGCGUGCCUAAUACAUGCAAGUCGAGCGAAUCUUUAGAAGCUUGCUUCUAAAGAUUAGCGGCGGACGGGUGAGUAACACGUGGGCAACCUGCCUAUAAGACUGGGAUAACUACGGGAAACCGGAGCUAAUACCGGAUAAUUCUUUUCUUCACAUGAGGGAAAGCUGAAAGACGGCGUAAGCUGUCACUUACAGAUGGGCCCGCGGCGCAUUAGCUAGUUGGUGAGGUAACGGCUCACCAAGGCAACGAUGCGUAGCCGACCUGAGAGGGUGAUCGGCCACACUGGGACUGAGACACGGCCCAGACUCCUACGGGUGGCAG